RNAcentral lists this ribosomal RNA (1452 nucleotides) under Comamonas sp. RPWA5.3. RNAcentral's name for it is "bacterial SSU rRNA". It matches the Rfam family "Bacterial small subunit ribosomal RNA". The record is from RNAcentral. Lineage: Bacteria; Pseudomonadati; Pseudomonadota; Betaproteobacteria; Burkholderiales; Comamonadaceae.
GCGGCUGCUUAACAUGCAGUCGAACGGCAGCACGGACUUCGGUCUGGUGGCGAGUGGCGAACGGGUGAGUAAUACAUCGGAACGUGCCUAGUAGUGGGGGAUAACUACUCGAAAGAGUGGCUAAUACCGCAUGAGAUCUAUGGAUGAAAGCAGGGGACCUUAGGGCCUUGUGCUACUGGAGCGGCCGAUGGCAGAUUAGGUAGUUGGUGGGAUAAAAGCUUACCAAGCCGACGAUCUGUAGCUGGUCUGAGAGGACGAUCAGCCACACUGGGACUGAGACACGGCCCAGACUCCUACGGGAGGCAGCAGUGGGGAAUUUUGGACAAUGGGCGCAAGCCUGAUCCAGCAAUGCCGCGUGCAGGAUGAAGGCCUUCGGGUUGUAAACUGCUUUUGUACGGAACGAAAAGGCGCCUUCUAAUACAGGGCGCUCAUGACGGUACCGUAAGAAUAAGCACCGGCUAACUACGUGCCAGCAGCCGCGGUAAUACGUAGGGUGCGAGCGUUAAUCGGAAUUACUGGGCGUAAAGCGUGCGCAGGCGGUUUUGUAAGACAGUGGUGAAAUCCCCGGGCUCAACCUGGGAACUGCCAUUGUGACUGCAAGGCUGGAGUGCGGCAGAGGGGGAUGGAAUUCCGCGUGUAGCAGUGAAAUGCGUAGAUAUGCGGAGGAACACCGAUGGCGAAGGCAAUCCCCUGGGCCUGCACUGACGCUCAUGCACGAAAGCGUGGGGAGCAAACAGGAUUAGAUACCCUGGUAGUCCACGCCCUAAACGAUGUCAACUGGUUGUUGGGGAUUUAUUUCUUCAGUAACGAAGCUAACGCGUGAAGUUGACCGCCUGGGGAGUACGGCCGCAAGGUUAAAACUCAAAGGAAUUGACCGGGGACCCGCACAAGCGGUGGAUGAUGUUCUUUAAUUCGAUGCAACGCGAAAAACCUUACCCACCUUUGACAUGUACGGAAGACUGCAGAGAUGCGGUUGUGCUCGAAAGAGAGCCGUAACACAGGUGCUGCAUGGCUGUCGUCAGCUCGUGUCGUGAGAUGUUGGGUUAAGUCCCGCAACGAGCGCAACCCUUGCCAUUAGUUUGCUACGAAAGGGCACUCUAAUGGGACUGCCGGUGACAAACCGGAGGAAGGUGGGGAUGACGUCAAGUCCUCAUGGCCCUUAUAGGUGGGGCUAGAAACGUCAUACAAUGGCCGGUACAAAGGGUCGCGAAGCCGCGAGGUGGAGCCAAUCCCAUAAAGCCGGUCGUAGUCCGGAUCGCAGUCUGCAACUCGACUGCGUGAAGUCGGAAUCGCUAGUAAUCGUGGAUCAGCAUGUCACGGUGAAUACGUUCCCGGGUCUUGUACACACCGCCCGUCACACCAUGGGAGCGGGUCUCGCCAGAAGUAGGUAGCCUAACCGCAAGGAGGGCGCUUACCACGGCGGGGUUCGUGACUGGGGUGAAGUCGAACAAG